RNAcentral lists this ribosomal RNA (750 nucleotides) under uncultured Gigasporaceae. RNAcentral's name for it is "SSU rRNA". It matches the Rfam family "Eukaryotic small subunit ribosomal RNA", at positions 339 to 1092 of the family's 1831-position model. Lineage: Eukaryota; Fungi; Glomeromycota; Glomeromycetes; Diversisporales; Gigasporaceae. The record is from RNAcentral.
GCCUACCAUGGUUUUAACGGGUAACGGGGAAUUAGGGUUCGAUUCCGGAGAGGGAGCCUGAGAAACGGCUACCACAUCCAAGGAAGGCAGCAGGCGCGCAAAUUACCCAAUCCCGACACGGGGAGGUAGUGACAAUAAAUAACAAUACAGGGCUCUUACGGGUCUUGUAAUUGGAAUGAGUACAAUUUAAAUCCCUUAACGAGGAACAAUUGGAGGGCAAGUCUGGUGCCAGCAGCCGCGGUAAUUCCAGCUCCAAUAGCGUAUAUUAAAGUUGUUGCAGUUAAAAAGCUCGUAGUUGAAUUUCGGAGUUCUACCGUCGGUCGGGCUACCAAGUCUGUACUGGUGCGUAGAAUUCCUACCUUCUGGGGAACUAUCAUGUUAUUAAUUUAGCGUGGUAGGAAACCAGGACCUUUACCUUGAAAAAAUUAGAGUGUUCAAAGCAGGCUUAUGUCUGAAUACAUUAGCAUGGAAUAAUAGAAUAGGACGGUGGUCCUGUUUUGUUGGUUUCUGAAUCACCGUAAUGAUUAAUAGGGAUAGUUGGGGGCAUUAGUAUUCAAUUGUCAGAGGUGAAAUUCUUGGAUUUAUUGAAGACUAACUUCUGCGAAAGCAUUUGCCAAGGAUGUUUUCAUUAAUCAAGAACGAAAGUUAGGGGAUCGAAGACGAUCAGAUACCGUCGUAGUCUUAACCAUAAACUAUGCCGACUAGGGAUCGGACGAUGUUAAAUUUUAUUGACUCGUUCGGCGCCUUACG